UUGGCUAUUGUGUCUCGGCUAAGGUGUCUUGGCUAAGGUGUCUUGGCUAAGGUGUCUUGGCUAAGGUGUCUUGGCUAAUGUGUCUCGGCUAAGGUGUCUUGGCUAAGGUGUCUUGGCUAAGGUGUCUUGGCUAAUGUGUCUUGGCUAAGGUGUCUUGGCUAAUGUGUCUUGGCUAAGGUGUCUUGGCUAAGGUGUCUUGGCUAAAGUGUCUUGGCUAAGGUGUCUUGGCUAAGGUGUCUUGGCUAAGGUGUCUUGGCUAAUGUGUCUUGGCUAAUGUGUCUCGGCUAAAGUGUCUUGGCUAAGGUGUCUUGGCUAAGGUGUCUUGGCUAAGGUGUCUUGGCUAAGGUGUCUUGGCUAAUGUGUCUUGGCUAAGGUGUCUCGGCUAAGGUGUCUCGGCUAAUGUGUCUUGGCUAAGGUGUCUUGGCUAAUGUGUCUUGGCUAAGGUGUCUUGGCUAAGGUGUCCUGGCUAAGGUGUCUUGGCUAAGGUGUCUUGGCUAAGGUGUCUUGGCUAAGGUGUCUUGGCUAAUGUGUCUUGGCUAAGGUGUCUUGGCUAAUGUGUCUUGGCUAAGGUGUCUUGGCUAAGGUGUCUUGGCUAAAGUGUCUUGGCUAAGGUGUCUUGGCUAAGGUGUCUUGGCUAAUGUGUCUUGGCUAAUGUGUCUCGGCUAAAGUGUCUUGGCUAAGGUGUCUUGGCUAAGGUGUCUUGGCUAAGGUGUCUUGGCUAAGGUGUCUUGGCUAAUGUGUCUUGGCUAAGGUGUCUCGGCUAAUGUGUCUUGGCUAAGGUGUCUUGGCUAAUGUGUCUUGGCUAAUGUGUCUGGGCUAGUGUGUCUUGGCUAAGGUGUCUUGGCUAAUGUGUCUCGGCUAAUGUGUCUUGGCUAAGGUGUCUUGGCUAAGGUGUCUUGGCUAAGGUGUCUUGGCUAAGGUGUCUUGGCUAAGGUGUCUUGGCUAAGGUGUCUUGGCUAA
Molecule: long non-coding RNA, 960 nt
Organism: Anopheles funestus (African malaria mosquito)
Lineage: Eukaryota; Metazoa; Arthropoda; Insecta; Diptera; Culicidae
Exons: 3
Source: RefSeq, a predicted model, not a curated record